GGGAGAUGGGCGCCUUCCACUGGCCUUUAACGAGAAGGGCAAGGGCCCUGUACACAAAGCCUUCUUCGCUAAUUUCAUUUGUGCACAAAGCAAAGCCCUUCUCCUUUUCCUCCCCCUAGGGUUGGGACUGAAUUUACUCUGGGUCUUGAAGUGUGGAAAAAGUAAACACUGCUCUAUUUGGAUUCCACUCACUGGUUUCUCCUGAGCCCAACAGAGCAGAGCCUGAGAGCAACCCCACGAGAAAACCACGAUCCCGGGUAACGCCAGGAGUUCCAGACAGUGCGAGCAGAGCAGCAAAGCAAGGCAAAAACCCCUGAGGUGGGAAAGAAAUGAGAAGGAGAAACACUGGGCUUAUUCUUAAUCGCUUUGCAUUUCCACAGAAAGCACUGUCAGCCCACAGAAGCUUCGGGAACCAUAGCACCCCCACCCCCACUCACCGGCGUGGCUAGGCCUGGCCAUGUCUGUCACCAAAUCUGUCCUGCCCCUGCGACUCACUGGGUACCAUGUGAGCCAAGCCUGCACCAGUGUGAGGACGGAACUGCUGUGUCUGUGCGACCAAGUGGGUGCUUAAGAAGGACUCCUCGAGGCAAGACUUAUUUUUUCUUAGGAGACGGCCUGGCUUUGUGGUCCAGGCUGGCCUUGAACUUGCUAUGUAGCCAAGGCUGGCCUCCAACACACAAUGAUCCUCCUGCCUCAGCCUCCCCAGUGCUGGGAUUACAGGGAUGUGGCACCACAUCCAGCCGAAGCAAGAGUUCAAAAUUAAAGCAUCCUGUGCCCCCAGAUGUCUGGCUCUGCCUUGCUGUCCCAGGCCAGCAGCCUCUAGUGGGGCACGAGGGGCCAUGGGGCCACAGCUCAACUCCCAGACACCCUCUCUGGGCUCAGACUCUUGAGCGAAGGGACAGCAAAGUGUGUGAGCCCGCCCGGAUCUGGCCAUCAGCUGACGCUGCUCCCCAGAGUGGGGGGAGCAGCCCCCCCCACCCCCGGCCGGAUGCUCAGUUUCCCUUCCACUGAAGUCUGUUUCCCCGGGCAUGGUGGCGCACGCCUGAAACCCAAGCACUCUGGGAGGCUGAGGCAGGAGGAUCGCAAGUUUGUGCCCGACCUGAGAAACAGCAACUUAGUGAGACUCUGUCUCAAGAUAAAAAAUCAGGAGGCUGUAGCUCAGCGGGGGGACCUGGGUUCAAUCCCCCAGUGCUGAAAAAAACCUGUUUCUAGUUAAAAGUAGCCAGAGCUAAUUUCUCCCAUUUGUAGCUGAAAAAUCCCAAAGGACGCGGCUCACAGCAACCCGUCAGCACGCGGGUGUGCGUGGACUCGCACGUGCACGUCGCGGGGGCACAGCGCUGUCUCGUCCGCAGGCGACUCACUCACGAGCGUGCGCAGUCUGACCCCGGAUUCCCUCUCCACAUCCGGCCACGAGCUGAUGAGAAACCGGGAGGGCCAGUGCACUGCGUGAGCGCGAGUGUGAGAGCGUGCAGCCUGGGGAAAAAUCCUGCCGACUCGCCACGCUGUUGGAGCGCACGCCCGCUCUACCAGGGGCGCGGGCCUUGCCGUCAGCGUCCUCUGCAGGCGCAGCCACCCCAAGCUUCCGCCGACCCUGACCCCAGCCCCAGCCCUCAACCCACGACCCGAGGCCACAGAGGCCCACAGGGUGAGCCCGUCUAACCCGGGCACCCAGGCUUUCACGCUGGAGGAGUGGCCGGGGAGGGGAGGGAGAGAGACAGAGGGAGGGAGAGACAGAGGGACAGAGAGAGACAGAGACAGAGAGACAGAGACAGGGAGAGAGACGAGAGAGAGACAGAGAGACAGAGGGAGAGAGAGAGGCCAUCUCCCCUCCCCUCUCCCCCACUCCCUCCGACAGUGCAGAGCAGGCUGCUGCCCAGCAGGAAGGAAAAGGCCACCAUCAGGGCAAGGCAAGUGUUGUGGGCACAGCGGCCCUGUGUUGCUUGCCUGUCUGCACACGGAGUCACCUGCCCGCUCCUCGGAUUUCUGCAGCUCCCCUGCGGCUCUGUCUGUGGCCCAGGCCCUGCUGGCGUGGAGUUUGUCCGACCCUCUGCGAGUGAGGCCCGGCACAGAUGGACGUUGCUCUCUGCUGUCCCUAGAACCCGGUGUCCCUCGCCUUUAGUCCACAGCAGGUGCUGUCUGCCGGCCCUGGCUCCCGCUUUGGCACCGAGUCCCCCUGGAGGCGAGGCGGGUUCUGCUUGUGUCGCAGGUGGGCACCCUGAGGACACUCGGGGUGUUUGUCACCCAGCUGGUGGUGCCUCUUGGUGGCCUCGAGUCCCACGCAAGGGAGCUUUGGCUUGCAGGUCCCUGAACCCGGGACACCUGGCCACCAGACCCGGACCUGCACGCCCUUCUGGGGACCCUGCAGGGCCAGGGAGGCGCAAGGCACAGCACCCAAGACCACGCCCUUCCCCGGGGGGGGGGGUCACAGUGCUGGGAGCUCCUGGAUCCCCAGAAAUUCUCAUGAAACCAGCCAUGGACGGAGCUCGCCUGCCCCACACAACAGCACACAGCACACUGGCUUUUUGUGUUUGUUUUUAGUGGUUUUCUGAGACAGGGCCUCGCUCUGUAGCCCAGGCUGGCCUCAGACUCAUGGUCAUCCUCCUGCCUCAGGCUCCUGUGGCACCACCAUGUCACUGGCGGUUUUUGAGUGCCUCACCUGAUUUGAAAAUUUGGAGCGAUAACCCAGACGUGCUUGUUCAGGCUUCCUAUUUUCCUUCGAUCUCUUGAACAGAAUCUGCCUGCAGAGCUGUCUUCUGGAGGUCUCUCUGUGGCCCGGGCCUGGGGGACUGCACUCUGCGGCCGUCCCAGGCCCAGUGGGGUCCGCACACCACGUCACAGUGACCCCUGCCCCUCCACCCCUCCCCGCCCCCGGGGAGGUGACACCCUGACCGCCUCUUUCUCACCUCGUUUAGGAGCUGGCUUGGACCACAGUGGGGCUUCUCAGGGUCUUCCCUGGGGCCACCCCAAGAAACUGCUCUGAUUGUGGGGGCCCUGUGCCCGCAGACCGUGCUGUGGAGGGGAAGUGUCCUUGGCUGCAUUCACCCCCGCCCUCUGGGAAAGGUUUCAGUGCCCUGGCAUCAAAUUUAUAACCAUGUUGUAUGUGACCCAUUGUCCUUGUCUCACCGGGGGUUGAACCCAGGGCCUUCACGCUGAGCUACACCCCACCCUUUUCUCAUUUUGUAUUUGGAGACAGGUCUCACUGAGUUGCCCCAGCGGGGCUUGAUCCUCCUGCCUCAGCGUCCGGAGCGUGGGUUUUUUGGGUGUGCACCACCACGCCCUGCUCAGCACUGCGGGUUUGCAGCAACUUUACUUGGUUCCCACAUAAAAGCAAACUCUUGUCUGUCCUCGUUUUCCAGUGUGGUAAGGUUUUCAUCCUGUGUCACUCCAUUUAUCCUCGUUCUUGACUUGACUUCCAGUGACAGUUAACUAAUUAGUGCUCUUCAGACGCUGCCUCUCUCUACAGAACACAGAACAACAGUCUUCCUCUCCAUGGAGCAAGAGGAUCUCUUGCGAUUCUUGGGACCCUACUUUCCUCCUGUUAAUGAUAAAGACCUAGGCGCAGAAAAAACACAAGGGAAAAGCAGCAGAGGCGUGGUCACCCUUGGUGGCGGCUCCCAGCGGGAUGAUGGGGGACCCAGCCCCUCAGAGACUCUACCUUGUUGGUCACCCUGAGGGUCCAGGGCUGAGAGACCUUUUAACUUUUUAAUAAAGAAGAUGAAUUCAAGUUUUUCCAUGAAAAUUUCCUUUAAAAACACUGCUUUAACUUUUAAAAGAAACUCAAGCCUAGUGACCGAAUACACUCUUGGGGACAGAACUCUCCAUCUCCCGGGCCCACGAGGGCUGCCAGUGCGCCUGUGAUCAGGGAC
Molecule: long non-coding RNA, 3866 nt
Filed under: Heterocephalus glaber (naked mole-rat)
Lineage: Eukaryota; Metazoa; Chordata; Mammalia; Rodentia; Bathyergidae
Description: lncRNA (ENSHGLG00000047826.1)
Source: RNAcentral